RNAcentral lists this ribosomal RNA (253 nucleotides) under uncultured bacterium. RNAcentral describes it as "partial 16S ribosomal RNA". It matches the Rfam family "Bacterial small subunit ribosomal RNA", at positions 524 to 776 of the family's 1533-position model. The record is from RNAcentral.
UACGGAGGGUGCUAGCGUUGUUCGGAAUUACCGGGCGUAAAGGGCGCGUAGGCGGCCGUUUGCGUCGGAUGUGAAAGCCCGGGGCUCAACUCCGGAAUUGCCUUUAAGACUGCAUCGCUAGAAUUGUGGAGAGGUAAGUGGAAUUCCGAGUGUAGAGGUGAAAUUCGUAGAUAUUCGGAAGAACACCAGUGGCGAAGGCGACUUACUGGACACAUAUUGACGCUGAGGUGCGAAAGCGUGGGGAGCAAACAGG